RNAcentral lists this long non-coding RNA (5220 nucleotides) under Durio zibethinus. RNAcentral's name for it is "long non-coding RNA (DZIB_LNC000702)". The record is from RNAcentral. Lineage: Eukaryota; Viridiplantae; Streptophyta; Magnoliopsida; Malvales; Malvaceae.
UUUCGACAAUGGCGGAAGAGACUAAAAACCCUGCUCGUGAUAUCCCUAUUGGUCUUGUUGGCUCGAUGGUAAUAACAACAACUGCAUACUGUUUGCUUGCUGUGGCAUUGUGCCUAAUGCAACCUUUCACGCAGAUUGAUAAGGAUGCCCCAUUUUCAGUAGCAUUUGAAGCUGUAGGGAUGUCAUGGGCUAAGUACAUUGUUGCUGCAGGUGCGUUGAAAGGCAUGACGACUGUUUUGCUAGUCAGUGCCGUUGGUCAAGCACGAUAUCUCACACAUAUUGCACGAACCCACAUGAUGCCACCAUGGCUAGCUCAAGUCCAUCCAAAGACUGGGACACCAAUUAAUGCUACCAUUGUCAUGCUUGCUGCAACAGCAAUUAUCGGCUUCUUUACAGAUCUUGGGAUUCUUGCCGAUCUUCUAUCCAUAUCAACAUUAUUCAUCUUCAUGCUUGUGGCUCUUGCGCUUCUUGUUCGGCGUUACUAUGUCAGUGGUGAGACAACUACAGCAGACCGUAACAAACUAAUCGCUUGCAUUGUGCUUAUUCUUGCGUCUUCAAUUGCAACAGCAGCUUAUUGGGGUCUAAGUGACAACAAUGAUUGGAUCGCUUAUGUGAUCACAGUGCCAAUUUGGUUCUUAGCUACUCUGGCACUGCAUGUUUUUGUUCCACAGGCUAGGAGUCCAAAACUAUGGGGUGUACCAUUGGUACCAUGGUUACCAUCGGCUUCCAUUACUAUUAACAUUUUCCUGCUGGGAUCAAUUGAUGGGGCAUCCUUUAUAAGGUUUGGUAUAUGGACUGUUGUGCUGCUGUUGUACUAUUUCUUCUUUGGAUUACAUGCAUCUUACGAUACAGGCAAGGGAAUCAGGAGAAAAUAAAAUCGGAGAAGGCUGGAAGAAAGUUGAAGAAGGUGUUGUAUCUUCAGAGGCCAAGUGAUCUGCGAUGGAACACUUACAAACGGUGGCAAACUACCAAUUCUUCUACAAAUUCUAGUGGGUAAGCGUGUUUGUUUAUUGUUGUGAAUUGUGAUCAAUGUGUGUGUGGUAGGAAAUCUUGUUCUAUUGUCAAGUAGCAUUUCUUCCACAAAUCGUAGAGGAGAAUGUUUGUUUUAUAUAGGAAGUAUAAAAAUUCUCUCCUCAGGUUGUCACAGGUUCCUAUUUCGGUGAAAGGGUGUGAAUAUCUAUGAUGACGGUUGUCUGUUUGAACUUUGCACAUUUUAAUCAAACAUGCUUUCCACACUCGUAAGCAACAUUUGGUGCAUAUGAUUAUUGAUAAAAUUAACCCGUGAAGUAACUGUUAAGAGUAAUUUUUUUAAUCUCACAAUUACAUUGACAAUGAAUAAUUAAUUAACCUGCAGCCAACUGAUCUGCAAUAAAGCUACCUGCUUGGAUCUGUUUUCAUUUCUCAAUCAAAUUGUUUAUUGGAUGAUUAUAGGCCUACUCCUCGUUGAAAACCCUGCGAUAGUUUGGAUUCUCCUGGGAAUUCUGCAGGCAAAUAGGUCGUCGGUGAAGUUAAUUAUCAACAGGUGAAUUAUUUAUGAGCCACCGUUAAUUAAUGUUGCGUGUUAUUGACCAGAUGCGGCGGCGGCGGUGGCAUAACACCGCUAUCAAAAGAAAUGACUUGGGUCUUGUUAUAUCAAUUAAUAACCGAUGGGAUUGGAAUUUUUCUAUGAAAUUCGAUAAUUGAUCAUAUAUAGAAGGCAGUUAUUGAACAUACUAAUAAUUUUCAAAGAUUUCAAAACUGUAAUUUUUCUGAAUUUUUUGUGAUAUAUAUAUAUAUAUAUAUAUCAGAUAAAACUCUAUGAAUUGGCAAUUACGUUUCCAUCUUGGAUUGAUCGAUGCGUUAAUGGGUCAUUAAUAAGCUUUUUUUUUUUUUUUUAUGCAUACUAUGUGACCAAUGUUUCAAACGGAACGUGGUAUGUAUAUAUUCUUUUAUUUAAGGCUGGUAUUUAUUAUUCCUCCAUAGCUUGAAUGUGCUUUUUGUCUUCAUUUUGCUUAAUUAUUCAAGCCAAUAAAUAAAAAAUUAGCAAAAUUUAUUGAAUGCUAAACAGCUUUAUGGCAAGGAAUUUCUCUAUUAUUCUUCUCAUGAUUUAUGAUUAUAUAAGUAAUAUAAAGAAAUUCGUUUUCUCUCUACUGUACAAAUUCAUUGAAGUUUUGAAUGAUUAUUAGUUUCCUCUUCAUUGAACCCGGCCUUGCCUUGAUUUUGGGCUCCAGGUAAAGACGAAACCAAACCCAAUCUUUAAUGUCCCUUGAGCCUUGAGGCAACCUAUGGGCCUAGUACAUACAAACCCAUUCUCAUAACAGAUUAUGGAACUGAUAUUUCAUAUGCGCUUUGACGACGAUGUCCGUUGCUUGGACGUUUUAUUUCCUCGAUACUGAUAUAUUUUACCUAUUUCAGGGUACUAAUGGCGGUUGAAAAUGAUAAUGGGCUUAAGAAGAGGGGAUGUGGUUGCACCAAACAAGAUUUCUUACCACAACAGUCAUUUCAUAGUUGGACAAGCUAUGUCUUUGUGUAACACAAAAUCUUUGCUUUAAGACCGCCUACUGGCACGUUCCUUGGACCAACGUAGAGCAAAAUGAAAGACGUGCUCAUAGCCAGCAUGAAAUGAAGAAAACUCUGAAUUGGUAGGACAUGACUUGCUUUGGCACGGGAGCUGUAAUGGGUGCUUGCUUGCUGUAAUAUUUGCCCUUAGUGGUGAAGCCGCCAGGAAUUAUUCAGUUCAACUGCACUGCCCCCAGUUUUGUGCUGUACUGAAAUCCUUUCGAAAGUGGCAUGCAUGUAUUCGGAAUCCAUAAGGGUUUUCCAAGCAAUGUUGUUGGAAGAGGCUUUAGAACCCAAGGAAGUUUUUUUGGUGCUGUAUCAUGAUAAUCAUGGCCUCUUUAACAUGUUAAAACUUUGAUCCUUCCUCGAAUAGGCCGUAACGCCAACCACUUUUCAUCUACAUCAGAAGCUUACGUACAAGAGAAAAAUGAUCAAAGUAAGACAAACAAAAAUAAAUUUCCCGCGUUCAACUAGAAAAAGAGCUCUUACUUUCCCUUUUUCCCCUUCCUUCUUCUUCAACUCACACUGUCAUCGGCGGCCACCGGUAAAAAAUCUCCGGCAAUCUGAUAAUUCCUAGUUCAUACGAAGGUUACUUUCUCUCUCGAUUAUUGUGCAAUUAACAUUUUGUUUUGUUGUUUAAAUACAUAUAUAUAGGUGUUAACUUGGAAUACUUGGCUGGCUUUCUCUGUAGAAAAACAACGUGGAAUCUCUGUUCCUUGUGUUCUUUUGAAAAUUAUUGAUAGUUAUGCUGAUUAGAUUAAUAAAUUAUUUAGUAAAAUUCUCAUGUUGGUUGGGAAAUACAUUUGAUUCUCUGAAGACAUGCGUUGUUUUUAUCGAAUAGACAUGCCACAACAUUUUGUCUCGGUAUCUUUUGCCGACUCUUAGCUUUGACCUUUAUUAACAUCCGAAGUAUUUCACUCUCUCUGUUGACUUUUGUCUUCGAAAACAAAUAUAAACUCUUCUUCUCUGUUUAAAAAUAUCCUGUUUCAUUGAGGUAAAAUGUUUUUUUGUUUCUUUUUCUGUUUGGGUUAUGAGAAAAGGUGAGAAAUUUUAUUAGAAGUUUUGAUUUUUAUUUUGUUUUGGUGGAAAUAUGAUGGGGAUGGACGGUCUAAUCGGAGGCGAAGGAGUAAGGAGAAGAGGAUGUUCAUGCACAAAAGACGAUUUUCUCCCUGAGGAGUCGUUUAAGAGCUGGGGCAAUUAUGUCCAAGCGCUCACGGAAACUCCACGCCGGUUCAUAGGCCGAGUGCUUACCCGAUCACUCGAAUCAACAGAGCUCCACGAAAUCAAGGCUCGAAGCCAGCAUGAGAUGAAGAAGAACCUCUCAUGGUGGGACCUUAUUUGGUUUGGUAUCGGUGCCGUCAUCGGCGCCGGCAUUUUCGUUCUAACCGGACUCCAAGCCAAAGAAGUCUCUGGCCCCGCCGUGGUUUUGUCCUACGUGGUGUCCGGCAUCUCGGCCAUGCUUUCCGUGUUUUGCUACACUGAGUUCGCUGUUGAAAUUCCCGUUGCAGGUAAAUACUUCACUAAUUAUCAUAUGAAGUUUUUUGAACAGGAAAUUUAUGCUUGAUUAUAAACUUUAGUUUUUGUCAAUAUCUAUCUAAAAUUCCCUUUUUUUUUUGAUAAAUUGUUUAGUUUUUUAUUUUUUCUGUGUAGGCUUUGAAUAAUCUUACUUCAUCAGUAAAAAUGAAAGAGAGUUGUAAAGAAUUUGGCUGAAUAUUCAAUAUCCCAUGAAAUUAUGGGCCCUCUAUUUUGGCAAAUAAUGUAGCAAAAUUUGACUUUUCACUGAGAUGGGAAAAGGUAAUGAUUACCCUUUUGUGUUUACAAGGGAUCGUUUAACAAAUACCAUUUAACCAUUUAACGAAGAUUUCGAUGGGUAGGUUUUUUAUCUGUUGAGCCAAGUUUGAUUUGCUACAUGUAAAAGAAUAGAGGAUUUUGUUCAUGGAAAUACACACAUUGCAGAUGUGUCGAUGUUAAUAAUGCAAAAUUUUCAUUUUCAGGUGGCUCGUUUGCCUACCUUAGAGUGGAGUUGGGUGACUUUAUGGCUUUCAUUGCUGCUGGUAACAUUCUCCUGGAGUAUGUUAUUGGAUGUGCUGCGGUGGCCCGGUCGUGGACUUCCUACUUCGCCGUCCUCUGUAAUCACCAACCUGAAGAUUUCCGCAUCGUAGUCCACAGCAUGCCCGAGGACUAUCGCCAACUUGAUCCUAUUGCCGUUGUUGUUGUGUCCAUCAGCGGUAUCCUUGCUAUCCUUAGCACCAAGGGCUCGUCGCGCUUCAAUUACAUUGCUUCCAUCUUUCAUGUUACUGUUAUUAUCUUUAUAAUCGUUGCUGGGUUUUCAAAAGCGGAUACCAAAAACUACAGCGAUUUUAUGCCCUUUGGUGUCCGUGGCAUUUUCAAGUCUUCGGCUGUGCUUUUCUUUGCAUAUGUUGGUUUUGAUGCUGUUUCAACAAUGGCGGAAGAGACUAAAAACCCUGCUCGCGAUAUCCCUAUUGGUCUUGUUGGCUCGAUGAUAAUAAUAACAGCUUUAUAUUGUUUGCUUGCUGUGGCAUUGUGCCUAAUGCAACCUUUCCGGCAGAUUGAUAAGGAUGCCCCAUUUUCAGUAGCAUUUGAAGCUGUAGGGAUGUCAUGGGCUAAGUACAUUGUCGCUGCUGGUGCGUUGGAAGGCAUGACAACUGCUUUGCUAGUCGG